UGUAGUUUGUUCCAUAUCCAUUUCAGAAUCUGAAUGUUAAGAUCUACUAGUAUAAGGUAGAAUCUGGAUGUUACAGAUUCGCAUGCUGAAACCCAAUCAUCUGGUGCCUCUGUCAGUAAUGAACUCUAGCAUGGUAGAGGAUAGGAGGUUCGCUAAAAUGCUAGAAAAACACCUUGGAUAACAUGUGGAAGUAGUUCUAAAAAAUGCAGCAGACAAUUGCUGAUGGAAAGGUAUUCACAGUUGAUCUGAAGAAAAAGCCACAAAACUCGAGUUGUUUUUGGCUUCAAAAGUUAACUCCGCUUUUCCCCGUACAGAUUUUGCCAACGGAUCUAUCAAUAACUUGUGUGUUUGAACUGUACAUGGAAUCAUUUGUAAUGUAUCUUGUCAUGUGUGUAUGGUGGGCGCUUAUGGUCAGAUCAGUUGUGGGGUUAAAGGUUGUUUCCUAAAUGUUUCAUACAAUUAAGUAUACAACUGAGCCAAGAUGGCAGUAAAAGAAAAGAAAAUCAGUUUUCUAUCUCUGAAUUGUGUGUAAACAAAGCAAAAUCAUCUUACCAUUUAUCUAUAUCAGCAUUACUGAUUUUAUAUCUCAAAUCCUCAUGCUGUACUCACAGAUGUAGUUUCAGGUCUAGUGGUACUGGUAACCAUCACGUUCACUCAGUCUGAAGAGUUAUCUUGUUCCGUAGGCUAGCUUGAGCGAGUGAUUGUUUGUCACAUAGAAAGUCCCAGCGACUCUUUGAGGCCCCAUUGCUAGAUCACUAUUUGUGAACUGGAGUUGAGGUUUUGUCCUAACCAUCACGCACAGUAAGUCGCAAGAGUUAUCUUGUGUCUGUGACUUGCUUACUUGAGGAGUGAUUGUUUGUGAUAUAGCAAGUCCGGGUGGCUCUCUGCCGCUAGAUCACUAUUUGCCAAUUAGAGUUGAGGUUGGAAUAUAGUGAAAAUCAAACUCACGUUUUGCCUAGUUCUCUUGAACGGAGGUUAAACAUGAGAAUGGAACUCCUCAAUUUAUGCUAUUUCAAGAAAUUAUCAAGAAUGGUUCAUUGAGUGUGAAAAUCGAACUCCCGAUUUUUAUUUCAAGCAAGUUAUCAAGAAUGGUUGGAGACCAUGUUAUUUGCUAAAUGAUUGAUAUGCCAUAUACCAUGAGAAUGGAAAUAUUGGUUGUCUCAAGCAAGUAAGGAAGAAUGGUAGGCGAUCAUGUUCUUUGGAGAUAUUCGAUGGAAAUGGAACUCUUUUUUAUCACCAUACCGGUGUGAAGUCAGUGUUUUCAAGUCAAUACGGCAACAAGUUUUAGUGCAUUCCAAAUGGGUAAAUGGAGUAACUUGCUUGUAAUUUUUAUUUUUGUGGUGUAAACAUAUAAUGUGUUAUAAUUUAAUUAGCAUCGUGUGCUUUGAGGAACAAAAUUGUAGUUUUAUU
Molecule: long non-coding RNA, 1410 nt
Organism: Lolium rigidum
Lineage: Eukaryota; Viridiplantae; Streptophyta; Magnoliopsida; Poales; Poaceae
Exons: 5
Source: RefSeq, a predicted model, not a curated record